GAUGAACGCUAGCGGCAGGCCUAACACAUGCAAGUCGAGGGGUAGCAGGAUUAAGCUUGCUUAAUUGCUGACGACCGGCGCACGGGUGCGUAACGCGUAUGCAACCUACCUUAUACUGGGGUAUAGCCCGGAGAAAGUCGGAUUAAUCCCCCAUAGUACUAAUGAAGCGCAUGGUUUAUUAGUUAAAGCAUUGCGGUAUAAGAUGGGCAUGCGUCCUAUUAGCUAGAUGGUGAGGUAACGGCUCAACAUGGCUACGAUAGGUAGGGGGCCUGGGAGGGUGGUCCCCCACACUGGUACUGAGACACGGACCAGACUCCUACGGGAGGCAGCAGUGAGGAAUAUUGGUCAAUGGGCGCAAGCCUGAACCAGCCAUGCCGCGUGCAGGAAGAAUGCCCUAUGGGUUGUAAACUGCUUUUAUUCGGGAAUAAACCUCUUUACGUGUAGAGAGCUGAAGGUACCAAAUGAAUAAGCACCGGCUAACUCUGUGCCAGCAGCCGCCGUAA
RNAcentral lists this ribosomal RNA (503 nucleotides) under uncultured bacterium. RNAcentral's name for it is "partial 16S ribosomal RNA". It matches the Rfam family "Bacterial small subunit ribosomal RNA", at positions 28 to 523 of the family's 1533-position model. The record is from RNAcentral.